UACAGAUCCCAGCAGGGUGGCCUUUUGCAGUUGGCAGAUCGUAAUUUUGUCAAUGUCUAUUGUUUCCAAAUGCCGGCUGAGAUCUUUUGGCACGGCACCCAGUGUGCCCAUCACCACCGGGACCACCUGCACUGGUUUCUGCCAGAGUCUUUGAAGUUCAAUCUUGAGGUCCUGAUAGCGGCUGAGUUUUUCCUGUUGUUUUUCGUCAAUGCGACUGUCACCUGGGAUGGCGACAUCAAUGAUCCUAACCUUUUUCUUUUCCACAACUGUGAUGUCUGGUGUGUUGUGUUCCAGAACUUUGUCAGUCUGGAUUCGGAAGUCCCACAGUAUCUUUGUGUGUUCAUUUUCCAAUACUUUUGCAGGUUUGUGAUCCCACCAGUUCUUUGCUGCUGGGAGCUGGUACUUGAAGCAUAAGUUCCAAUGAAUCAUUUGGGCCACAUAGUUGUGCCUCUGUUUGUAGUCAGUCUGUGCGUUUUUCUUGCAGCAGCUGAGGAUAUGAUCAAUGGUUUCGUCACAUUGACAGUCGCAUUGACGAAAAACAAGAAAAACUCAGCUGCUAUCAGGACCUCAAGAUUGAACUUCAAAGACUCUGGCAGAAACCAGUGCAGGUGGUCCUGGUGGUGAUGGGCACACUGAGUGCCGUGCCAAAAGAUCUCAACCGGCAUUUGGAAACAAUAGACAUUGACAAAAUCACGAUCUGCCAACUGCAAAAGGCCACCCUACUGGGAUCUGCGCGCAUCAUCCGAAAAUACAUCACACAGUCCUAGACACUUGGGAAGUGUUCGACUUGUGAUUUUGUGAUACAAAAUCCAGCAUAUCUAUCUUGUUUGCUGUGUCAUAAUAAAAUAAUAAUAAUAAUAAUGCAAAAUCCAGCACACUAUAUACAGUAGAGUCUCACUUAUCCAACGUUCUGGAUUAUCCAAUGCAUUUUUGUAGUUAAUGUUUUCAAUGCAUCAUAUUUUGGUGCUAAAUUCGUAAAUACAGUAAUUACUACAUAACAUUACUGCGUAUUGAACUACUUUUUCUGUCAAAUUUGUUGUCUAACAUGAUGUUUUGGUGCUUAAUUUGUAAAAUCGUAACCUAAUUUGAUGUUUAAUAGGCUUUUCCUUAAUCUCUAUUAUCCAACAUAUGUGCUUAUCCAACAUUCUGCUGGCCCAUUUAUGUUGGAUAAGCAAGACUCUACUGUAUCUCCUUUGCUGUGUCAUACUAUGUCUUUGUGUCAAUAAUAAUAAUAUUGGUGAGCCUUUUUGUAAAGUUUGCUGUGCUCUCUUCUGCCUCGCUUUCCAAGCUGCCUUUUAAUAAUGCAGCAUUUUGACAAACUUGCCUGAGCCGUUUUUGUUUUUCGGUGGGCGAUCUGGCAUGCUAUAAUUAGGAGCCCGUUUUCCGAAAUGUUCCCGCGUGCAUACGCACUAUCUCUGUGCGCUAUUGCUGCCAUAGCAACGGCUGCCUCCGUUCCUCCAGCAAAGCUAUCCGGUUCAAGCCUCGCUUUCUCUGACGUUGCCAUUUCACCUUCCCCCAAAGGCACAUCCUGGAUCCAAGACAGGAACACGAUGGCAUUGGAAAGCAAGCAAGCAAACAAGAAUUGGCGACCGACAAGGUAAAAUAGCCCCCUCCCCAUUCUGCAAGAGGUCGGGAUGAACAUCAUUGCUUUCCAUGCAAGGAUUCCUCACUUGAUGCUCAUACAAGAGACAUCGGCAGGGAUACAAUAAAGGAGAAGAAGUGGAAAUCAAGUGUAGCCCACUGAUGAACCGUGGGAGAAAGUAAGGUCUGGACAGGAUUAUGCAAAGACAGCUGUGUGUGGGAAGAACUGCAUGGUGACAGAAGGAGCUCUGACCAAGAGAAAUCUGCUGUGUAUCAGAAGGACCGUGCGAGACCUUUUCAUCAUCUGUUCCAUUCACACUGGAUGCCCGAGUCGAACAUGGAGUUUCGCGCCCUGAUUCCUGCACCAGACAUUCAAUGAAAAAAAUGGAAGAGUCACGAC
Molecule: long non-coding RNA, 1981 nt
Organism: Anolis carolinensis (green anole)
Lineage: Eukaryota; Metazoa; Chordata; Lepidosauria; Squamata; Anolidae
Exons: 3
Source: RefSeq, a predicted model, not a curated record